This is a long non-coding RNA of Hemibagrus wyckioides, 851 nucleotides long. RefSeq lists it as uncharacterized. The record is from RefSeq and is a predicted model, not a curated record. NCBI's taxonomy places the organism in Eukaryota, Metazoa, Chordata, Actinopteri, Siluriformes, Bagridae. The transcript is spliced from 7 exons.
AAUUUAAAAGACUUCUUACAACAGGGAUUAGAGAGAGUCACAAAUUUGGGUUUGCGUCGUGUUUUUAAUUCCGAUUUGUGUUUUCGUGUAACGCGAUUUAAGCUUGAGUCUUUAUAAAAGAGUCAUUUCAAAAGACGUCGCUUAUAAUAUGAACAAAAACACAAGACAUGAUGAACAACUCUCCAAGCCUGUAGUGGCGCUACGGCCAGUGUGCGCAUGCGCACGACCCACAAUUCAUUUCUUCCUUGCGUUUCGUCUACUGGUGUUCCUCAACGUGGUCUUUCUCGUCUCUCCCUUGGAAAGGUUUGAGGAGUAUCCAAGUGAAGCAUCUGGCUAGAAAAGAGUCUCAGCAGGAGCUGAAAUGGAAAUGAUGUGCUGCGUAAAUGGAGCUUCUCUCAAGUUAAAAGCACUCGGCCUGGACUCCCAGCCUCCUGACUGAGAUGCUGAAACUGAUGGUUAGAAGAGCAGCUGGUUAGAAUCGAGCACAAAACCUCAGCAGAUCGCCCUGAUCUAUAAACCACGUCUUCACUUGUCCUCAGGAGCUGAAAGGAAACGCGCAAGCCGACGUAUAAAAAGACGAUGUGCUACGCCAAGUACCGAGGUGCUGCAGCUCUGUCCUGACAUCCAGACCAGCAGCAGGACUACGUUUAGCACUGAUGUGUUUUUAUCUGCUAUUACAUUCAAUACCUGAUUGCAGUGUAUUUCUACUGUCCUGCAUCACGCUAUUUAGUAUGACUACUCCAACUACCGAAAUUGGACUGGAUCUGUUAUGUCGCAUCCAUUCAGUGUUUUUGGAAGUUUACAAGACUGAUCUGCAAAAAAUCAUUUAAAUAAAGUUCUUCAUAAUAUGA